GAUGAAGAACGUAGCGAAAUGCGAUAAGUAAUGUGAAUUGCAGAAUUCAGUGAAUCAUCGAAUCUUUGAACGCACCUUGCGCCCUUUGGACAUUCCGAAGGGCAUGCCUGUUUGAGUAUCAUGAACACCUCAACUCUCACGGCUUGUCCGUGAUGAGCUUGGACUUUGGGGGUCUUGCCGGCCUGUGGUCGGCUCCUCUCAAAUGGAUCAGCUUGCCAGUGUUUGGUGGCAUCACAGGUGUGAUAACUAUCUGCGCUUGUGGUUUUCCAUCAGAUAACCUUCAGUGAUAUGGAGGUUCGCUGGAGCUCACAAAUGUCUCUCCUUAGUGAGGACGGCUCUUUGAACGUUUGAUCUCAAAUCAGGUAGGACUACCCGCUGAACUUAAGCAUAUCAAUAAGCGGAGA
This 404-nucleotide unclassified non-coding RNA is filed under the name soil metagenome. RNAcentral describes it as "partial contains 5.8S ribosomal RNA, internal transcribed spacer 2, and large subunit ribosomal RNA". The stretch from base 1 to 121 matches the Rfam family "5.8S ribosomal RNA", at positions 35 to 154 of the family's 154-position model. The record is from RNAcentral.